RNAcentral lists this ribosomal RNA (253 nucleotides) under uncultured bacterium. Its description in RNAcentral is "partial 16S ribosomal RNA". It matches the Rfam family "Bacterial small subunit ribosomal RNA", at positions 524 to 776 of the family's 1533-position model. The record is from RNAcentral.
UACGGAGGGUGCGAGCGUUGUCCGGAAUCACUGGGCGUAAAGGGCGCGUAGGCGGCCUGCUAAGUCGAACGUGAAAUCCCUGGGCUCAACCCAGGAACUGCGUCCGAUACUGGUUGGCUUGAAUCCGGGAGAGGGAUGUGGAAUUCCAGGUGUAGCGGUGAAAUGCGUAGAUAUUUGGAGGAACACCGGUGGCGAAGGCGACAUCCUGGACCGGUAUUGACGCUGAGGCGCGAAAGCCAGGGGAGCAAACGGG